GGUGGUGCAUGGUUGUCGUCAGCUCGUGUCGUGAGAUGUUGAGUUAAGUCCCGCAACGAGCGCAACCCUCGUUCUAUGUUGCCAGCACGUAAUGGUGGGAACUCAUGGGGAUACUGCCAGGAGUCAACUCGGAGGAAGGUAGGGGAUGACGUCAAAUCAUCAUGCCCCUUAUGUCUUGAGCUUCACGCAUGCUACAAUGGCCGGUACAAAGGGGCUGCAAUACCGUAAGGUAGGAGCGACUCCCAAAAAGCCACUCCCAGUUCGAAUUAAACUCUGCAACUCGACCUCAUGAAGCUCGAAGUCGCUAGUACUCGCAGCUCAGCAACGCUGCGGUGAAUACGUUCCCGACUCUUGUACACACCGCCCGUCAAGUCAUGAAAGUCGGUAACACCUGAAGCCGAUGGCCCAACCCUUGUGGAGGGAGCCCUCGAAAGUGGAUUGUCUUGGACU
RNAcentral lists this ribosomal RNA (450 nucleotides) under Microbacterium sp. MG1-F1. RNAcentral describes it as "bacterial SSU rRNA". It matches the Rfam family "Bacterial small subunit ribosomal RNA", at positions 1037 to 1482 of the family's 1533-position model. The record is from RNAcentral. Lineage: Bacteria; Bacillati; Actinomycetota; Actinomycetes; Micrococcales; Microbacteriaceae.